RNAcentral lists this ribosomal RNA (1219 nucleotides) under Escherichia coli. Its description in RNAcentral is "partial 23S ribosomal RNA". It matches the Rfam family "Bacterial large subunit ribosomal RNA", at positions 1 to 1251 of the family's 2925-position model. The record is from RNAcentral. Lineage: Bacteria; Pseudomonadati; Pseudomonadota; Gammaproteobacteria; Enterobacterales; Enterobacteriaceae.
GGGUUGUGAGGUUAAGCGACUAAGCGUACACGGUGGAUGCCCUGGCAGUCAGAGGCGAUGAAGGACGUGCUAAUCUGCGAUAAGCGUCGGUAAGGUGAUAUGAACCGUUAUAACCGGCGAUUUCCGAAUGGGGAAACCCAGUGUGUUUCGACACACUAUCAUUAACUGAAUCCAUAGGUUAAUGAGGCGAACCGGGGGAACUGAAACAUCUAAGUACCCCGAGGAAAAGAAAUCAACCGAGAUUCCCCCAGUAGCGGCGAGCGAACGGGGAGCAGCCCAGAGCCUGAAUCAGUGUGUGUGUUAGUGGAAGCGUCUGGAAAGGCGCGCGAUACAGGGUGACAGCCCCGUACACAAAAAUGCACAUAUUGUGAGCUCGAUGAGUAGGGCGGGACACGUGGUAUCCUGUCUGAAUAUGGGGGGACCAUCCUCCAAGGCUAAAUACUCCUGACUGACCGAUAGUGAACCAGUACCGUGAGGGAAAGGCGAAAAGAACCCCGGCGAGGGGAGUGAAAAAGAACCUGAAACCGUGUACGUACAAGCAGUGGGAGCACGCUUAGGCGUGUGACUGCGUACCUUUUGUAUAAUGGGUCAGCGACUUAUAUUCUGUAGCAAGGUUAACCGAAUAGGGGAGCCGAAGGGAAACCGAGUCUUAACUGGGCGUUAAGUUGCAGGGUAUAGACCCGAAACCCGGUGAUCUAGCCAUGAGCAGGUUGAAGGUUGGGUAACACUAACUGGAGGACCGAACCGACUAAUGUUGAAAAAUUAGCGGAUGACUUGUGGCUGGGGGUGAAAGGCCAAUCAAACCGGGAGAUAGCUGGUUCUCCCCGAAAGCUAUUUAGGUAGCGCCUCGUGAAUUCAUCUCCGGGGGUAGAGCACUGUUUCGGCAAGGGGGUCAUCCCGACUUACCAACCCGAUGCAAACUGCGAAUACCGGAGAAUGUUAUCACGGGAGACACACGGCGGGUGCUAACGUCCGUCGUGAAGAGGGAAACAACCCAGACCGCCAGCUAAGGUCCCAAAGUCAUGGUUAAGUGGGAAACGAUGUGGGAAGGCCCAGACAGCCAGGAUGUUGGCUUAGAAGCAGCCAUCAUUUAAAGAAAGCGUAAUAGCUCACUGGUCGAGUCGGCCUGCGCGGAAGAUGUAACGGGGCUAAACCAUGCACCGAAGCUGCGGCAGCGACGCUGAUGCGUUGUUGGGUAGGGGAGCGUUCUGUAAGCCUG